This 881-nucleotide long non-coding RNA is filed under the name Anser brachyrhynchus (Pink-footed goose). Its description in RNAcentral is "lncRNA (ENSABRG00000010464.1)". Lineage: Eukaryota; Metazoa; Chordata; Aves; Anseriformes; Anatidae. The record is from RNAcentral.
AUGUCUUUCCACCCUCCUGCAAACUCCCCUGAGUGCAGGCCCCCUCUGCCUCCCUGUCCGUGUAGGCCUUCUGGAACCAGGCAGAUCACAGUGCUGCAGUACGCCAGAGAGCUCCGAGUGUGCUUUUCAUCGCCCACAAGAGGAGGCGAAGCAGCCUGCUUCAGAGAGUGGAAAGUUUUGCCUGGUUUGGAAGACUGGUGAAGUUAAAGCUGGGAUAAGAAUGCACUGAAAGCACCUAUACAAGACAAAGAAAUAUUACUGUGCUGGCAAAAUGAUUCUUGAGAACUCCUGGCCCAAUUUAUGAGAGACAAAUUCCAAUGAAGGGUAAUAAUAAUGGCAAGGCUUUUAAUAGUCCAUUGAGCCCUGUUUUGCAGGAGCUGGGCAAACACUGAGAGCUCUAAGGCUGCUCUACAUUUGGCUGAAAUUAAAGGUGCACAUAGUGUUGGGGAUUUGUUUUCCGAUCUAUAGAAUUCUAUGAAAACUGUAAUUCAGCCAUGCCCGGGGAAAUGUCUCUAUUAAUGCUCCAUUCAUAUUUUAAAAGUCAGUCCAGUCCUUGAGUUUUCAAUGUUCCCUUACAACAUCUGUUUACUAGCAAGUAAAACCAUGCUCUAAGCAUGGGGUCUGAACAUUCAAAGGUUUUAAAAACAAGCCAUUACAGAACCAGAAAUCUAAUCCUUCAGUUAAUCAACAGCAAUAUUUGAAAAGGGAGGAGCUAUUGGAUAUCUACAUUGCCUCAGGUAAGGACCAGGAAUAAUGCACAUCCAGAAACGAAAUGUGUGUAAAUCACUGCAAAAUUGACCAAAGCUGCAUUUCGUGGCAUUCAAAAUACAAGAAAGAUCUGAUGGGGGUGAAGGGAAGCUGUUCAGCUGCUGAAAAAUACU